GGUGCUGUGGCUCAAAGUGGUAGAGCAUUAGCCUUGAGCGCAAAAGCUAAGGAACAGCACCA
RNAcentral lists this transfer RNA (62 nucleotides) under Dipodomys ordii (Ord's kangaroo rat). The record is from Rfam by way of RNAcentral. Lineage: Eukaryota; Metazoa; Chordata; Mammalia; Rodentia; Heteromyidae.